UGCAGCCGGGGAGAUAGCGGUGCCCUGUACCUGCAAUCCGCUACAGCAGGGGUGAUGCCGAACCGAGGCAGUUUCUCUGUGGGGUCAGCCCUUCAUAAGCGGUGUUGACGUCUGGGUCUUGCGCAACAGAUCUCUGUGAACCGUGUCAGGUCGGGAACGGAGCAGCACUAAGCAGAACCUUCUGUGUGCCGUAAGGUCGCCUGGAUAGAGCUGGCUGUGAAGUAAGCGUCUGUGGGGUGCUGUCGAAGGGAGGCGCACGG
This 260-nucleotide signal recognition particle RNA is filed under the name bovine gut metagenome. RNAcentral describes it as "Bacterial large signal recognition particle RNA". It matches the Rfam family "Bacterial large signal recognition particle RNA". Rfam says of the family: The signal recognition particle (SRP) is a universally conserved ribonucleoprotein involved in the co-translational targeting of proteins to membranes. The record is from RNAcentral.